RNAcentral lists this long non-coding RNA (449 nucleotides) under Physcomitrium patens. RNAcentral's name for it is "long non-coding RNA (PPAT_LNC009216)". The record is from RNAcentral. Lineage: Eukaryota; Viridiplantae; Streptophyta; Bryopsida; Funariales; Funariaceae.
AUAAAAAGAAGAAUCAUAGACAUAGGAUAAUUAGUAGGUAUUUUUAUCUUAGAUGCUUACUAUGAUUUUUGAAUAUCCACCCCAAUUUUUUUCCUUUCUCUUUUUGCAAGAAAUCCUAUUGCUUCUUUGACUUCUUUUCAAUUUUUUGUCAAUCCUUUUUCUUUUUCUUUAUCUUCAAAUAAAAUUUCUAACUUUUCUUGUAACUUUCCAUUAGCCACUUGAAGAAAUAGCUCCACUUUUCUUGGAUCUAGUAAUUGUCUUUCAUCCUUUGAUAAAUAAAAAUAUUAUCUUUUUAAUCCUCUCAAUAAUUUUGUUGUUUAAAGAUCCUUCUUAGACCUUUUAAUCUACUCAAUAAAUAACUUCUUUGUAAUUUAUUCACUAUCUUCUGAGAAUAAUUCAUCUUUUAAUGCUUUAAAAAAAUUCUCCCAUAAACCUCUAAAAUAUCCUAU